UGAACAAGCGCCUGACUGCCCCCCCUGCGGCUUUCCUCUGUCAUUUGGAUGAUCUGCUUCGCCCGUUAUUGAAGGACACAGCUUGCCCCAGCAAAGCUACCUUUGUCUGUGAUCGUGUGGCCGAGGCACUGAUCCUGCGUGUGCGGAGUGAGCUCUCUGGUCUCCCCUUUUAUUGGAAUUUCCACUGCACCCUAGCCAGCCCUUCCCUGAAACUACCAGAGGCAUGCAGCGUAGGUGAUGGAAGGCCCUUUGUCAUGAAUUUACAGAAUCUGUAUAUGGCAGUCACCAGACAAGAGAUCCAAGGGAGACAGAACCAUCAGGGCACUGGAGAUCCUCAGCCCUCAAGCAGUGCCUCCCCACAAGGGACCGAAAACCAACUUCUGAACCAGCCGGAAGAACCAGCACCAUCCCUCCCAGUGCCCGAGAAAGAGCCCCCAGGUACUUCAGGCCCUAUGCACAGACCUCAGCUGUCAAAGGUCAAGAGGAAGAAGCUAAGGGGGCUCUUCAGUUAACCUGUCCCUGUCCCGACUGCGGAGAAUGGGCUUGGAGAAUAGUUUCCUCGUGUCACCUUGAGAGGAGCUCCUGUAGCAACAGCAUCUCCAGCACCGGGUUACAUAGUCAGAGGCCCCACAGCAAGGCUGACGUAACAGAAAUUCCCGCGGACAGGCGUGGGUACUGUUAACCCAGGGAAUCUGGGCUCCCACCCGCUGGGCGUUGGCCUUCCCUAGCCGAGUGGAAGCCAGCUUCUGAGAAUCCCAUACCUUCCUCUCUUUUGUCGGAGGUUCCCCAGACCCAGGAUCCUACCAUGGACUUUAGGUGCAGAGGACAAGUCAGCAAAAAAGGCACAACGUGCUCAGGAAGCCUUGUCCACCUUUCUCAAGAGUCCCUAGCUCCUCAGAGACCCACUUCUCUCUUAAGCCCGGAAUAAAAAGCACUCACACUCCCCUG
Leptonychotes weddellii (Weddell seal) is the source of this 948-nucleotide non-coding RNA. Lineage: Eukaryota; Metazoa; Chordata; Mammalia; Carnivora; Phocidae. The record is from RefSeq and is a predicted model, not a curated record.